CCUACGGGAGGCAGCAGUAGGGAAUCUUCCACAAUGGGCGAAAGCCUGAUGGAGCAACGCCGCGUGGGUGAAGAAGGUCUUCGGAUCGUAAAACCCUGUUGUUAGAGAAGAAAGUGCGUGAGAGUAACUGUUCACGCUUCGACGGUAUCUAACCAGAAAGCCACGGCUAACUACGUGCCAGCAGCCGCGGUAAUACGUAGGUGGCAAGCGUUAUCCGGAUUUAUUGGGCGUAAAGGGAACGCAGGCGGUCUUUUAAGUCUGAUGUGAAAGCCUUCGGCUUAACCGGAGUAGUGCAUUGGAAACUGGGAGACUUGAGUGCAGAAGAGGAGGGUGGAACUCCAUGUGUAGCGGUGAAAUGCGUAGAUAUAUGGAAGAACACCAGUGGCGAAAGCGGCUCUCUGGUCUGUAACUGACGCUGAGGUUCGAAAGCGUGGGUAGCAAACAGGAUUAGAUACCCCUGUAGUC
Molecule: ribosomal RNA, 465 nt
Filed under: uncultured bacterium
Lineage: Bacteria
Description: partial 16S ribosomal RNA
Rfam family: Bacterial small subunit ribosomal RNA
Source: RNAcentral